This 253-nucleotide ribosomal RNA is filed under the name uncultured bacterium. Its description in RNAcentral is "partial 16S ribosomal RNA". It matches the Rfam family "Bacterial small subunit ribosomal RNA", at positions 524 to 776 of the family's 1533-position model. The record is from RNAcentral.
UACGUAGGGGGCUAGCGUUGUCCGGAUUUAUUGGGCGUAAAGAGCGUGUAGGCGGCCAGGUAGGUCCGUUGUGAAAACUCGAGGCUCAACCUCGAGACGUCGGCGGAAACCCCCUGGCUAGAGUCCGGAAGAGGAGAGUGGAAUUCCUGGUGUAGCGGUGAAAUGCGCAGAUAUCAGGAGGAACACCGGUGGCGAAGGCGGCGACCUGGGUCGAGACUGACGCUGAGGCGCGAAAGCGUGGGGAGCAAACAGG